Molecule: ribosomal RNA, 387 nt
Filed under: Mytilus galloprovincialis (Mediterranean mussel)
Lineage: Eukaryota; Metazoa; Mollusca; Bivalvia; Mytilida; Mytilidae
Description: partial 16S ribosomal RNA
Rfam family: Bacterial large subunit ribosomal RNA
Source: RNAcentral
GGCGUUAACGUGAGCGUCCUAAGGUAGCGCGAUAAUUUGCUUUUCAAUUGAAGGAUGGUAUGAAAGGGUUAACGAAGAAGGUGCUGUGUCUAAAAAUUCAAUUUAAACUAACUUUAAGGUGAAGAGGCCUUUAUGUAAAAGAAGGACGACAAGACCCUAUGAAGCUUUAUCUUAAUUGGAGCUCUCAGGCUCUUAUACGAUUUUGAUGGGAGAUCAGUAGAAAGAAGUCUUCUACUAUCAUAUUAAUCUUACUAGUAUUUCCUAACUUUAUAUGUGUGGCUAGCUACUCUAGGGAUAACAGCGCAAUUUCUCCCGAAAGAUGGUAUUGGAGGGGAAGAUUGCGACCUCGAUGUUGGCUUUAGAUAUCCUAGAGGCGUAGAAGCUUCU